GUGCGGCAAAGCAGACGCUGGGAACCAGGCACAGCUGCAAUGGGAUUUUUUCUCCUGUCUUCCCAUUCUUUAAGUAUGAGAAUUAUCUUUGUGAAAAAGGGGGAAUAAAAAGAAAGCAUAAACUGGAUCUGCAUGUUGGCUUUAAGAAAUAAAACAAGAAAACAACCCAGAGUGGUUUCAAUUGCACAGGUAUACGGAAGUCCAUGUCGCAUUAUUUUCAGAAGAUGGGCAUUCGUAUUUUACCCUGGCUGAUUCUUAAUAGCUUCCUGUGCCACAGUGACAUACCUGUGUGGCUGAGACAAAAAAAAAAAAGAUUUUGCGUGUCAAGUGUUAUUUGAUCAAGGCCUCUGCAAUCCCUCAUCCAUUGAGUCAUUGUCUUACUGUCUCAGGUCAUAGACAAUAUUGGGUUUUGAUAGACUGACAAAGUUUACGCGUGUGAAUUAGCAGAGAGCUUGAUUUAGAGACCAGACUUAAAUCAAUCCCAAUCAUGUCUGGCUGCAGAGCUGCAGUCGACUGGCAGUGGCAUCACAACCAGCCAUCGUGUGGAGAAUCCCUGGGACUGCAAUCUCUUGUCACACUGGAGACUGGGAUAAUAAAACACUCUUGGUUAUCCAAUUGCUUUUUUUCUUUUAGCAGCUAUCAAUCACACUUGCUGUAACUGCACUUUUAUUGUGGAUUAGUCUGUCUGUAAUGCAGUUCUUAUCUACACUCGCUGGGAACCAGGGCACUAUGUCUUCUCGCUUUAACACACAUUUCUUUCUGCAGCUAGGAUGGAGGCACACACAACAAAGGAAGCAACACAAAGCAUCCGUUUUUAUCUCCUGGAUUGUUGCAAGAACAUCACUCCACUUUUUUUGUCUCAUGCUCCUUUUCAGAUUUCAACUAUAAAACAGACAGCAUACCUCUAAUGUGUUUUUUUGUUGUAUGUGUAUAUGUGUGUGCGAUUUUUUUAAAUUUUUUAAUUUUUUUUUUUUUAAAGAAAAAAAAAUCCUGUGAGGCUUGUGAUAUGUGGCAGCGGCACGUUUAGGUUCUUGCCAAUUUGAAAUACUUGGCUUCUGAGCCGAAGCCCUGAGGGACAAGUGUUAUAACUUGAAAAAAGAUUGCAACUGAAGGAAUAAAAAUGACAAGCGUAAUGGAAGAGCUGCAAAGGCAACUGUCAGGAAAAUCAGUCUGAGAUUGAAUAAUUCAUAAAUUGAAAUUACCCUGCCUUCACCUUUUUCAGAUAGACUCGCAUGAUAUGAAUCUGUAACAAUUUUUCAAGACAAAGCCAAAAUGUCAUUUUGGAAUUGAAGGGCUUUCAACGUGAGAUGCUGCAUUUUGAUCCUGUUUCUUUUUACAAUUAUGCUGUGAGAAGUGCACUCAUCACCAAGCACUAUUGCCAGUGAAAAUUACAGGCAAUUACAUUGGGGCGACUGACACACUACCAUCUGAUCUACAGUGUUCCUAACCCGGGUGCAUGCUCUCCCUCUGUCUGCAGUGACAUGCAGCCUGCACAUAUGUAUAAGUACACUGGUUGAUUUUCUGUCACUCUUCCUUGAAGAUGUGGGAAGAUAUAGCGCAAAUUUCAAUACAUGAUCUAUUCCAGUUAUUGAAUGCAUUGCCAGCAGUUGCUUAAUAACAGGGUUGUGUUAGCCAACUGUUUGUAACUACUUGGAAAGUUAUUUUAAGCACAGAGCCUGGGUGUAUUUGUCUGUGUAUAUGGCUGGAAUCAGACUACCAGUGGAGCUUCUAACUGUUUCUCUCUUGUGGCGCAGCAGUAAUGUUGGAAUGUACAAUCGACAUGCUGUCAUGGCUGGAGCAAGGUGUUUUUUUUUCUAUAUGCACAACAGUGUUCAUUACAAAGUUUAAGCCCUAGCGUAAUUAUUGCUGUAAAGGAGAUACAUUAAGUAGCCAUAAAGCUGUAGAAAGCAGGAGCAGAGUGAUGCCUUUGGGAUAUGGCAAAUAGAACAAAGAGAGUGAAAUGCAGCAAUAGAUCAGUUUAUGGUAAGCAGUUACAGCGUAUAGUGCUGAUGUUAGAGCUAUGAAAAAUGCACUUUCAAAGUACUUUUCCAAUGCACAGCACAUAAUUAGUUGAAAAGUAGAGGGGUUUUGAUUUAUGAGCGUGUAUGUUUUUAUUUUUGCCUUAUUUAAAACUUUAGAUGAAGUAUAGCAAGCCCUCUGUAGAUUAGCCCUUUUAAGGCUUGGUCUAGCUCUACUGGCUUAGUCUUGUAACCGUUUCUGUUGCGUGAUAGACGCAGAAGAGUCUCUCCUUGUUUCACAGUCAUAUCAGGUAGUGUUUCAGAGGAAGCAUCUUUUCUGAAAAGGGUAACAGAAUCAUACAAAAAGUAAGAAAAUCACCAUCAGAUUAGCCGGCCCGCCACUGGUAUUGUUCAAACCUGAAGAUUCUGUUAAAACAUGGCGUGGCAAAGGUCGGCAUGCAGCUCCCGACACCAACAAUAAGGCACGAGAUCCUGAUCCCCAAGCAAAUGAGAACUUGAAGUAUACAUGGGAGCUACUGUAAAUCAAGUUACAAUGCGGUGGGCUCCUGGGGAGGCCUUGGCUCCCCACACACCAGCGACCCCGAUGGCUGGCCGGGUGCCUGCAGGUCGGCCUGUACAUAAUUCAGAACUGCGUGGUCCUCCGACACUGUAAGUUCUGAAUAUGGCUGCACGGAGGGCUUGCAGAGCGAAAAAAAGCAGACGGCUGAUGGCACUUGUUUCGGAGGACGUGAGUGCUUGUCUUCGUCUCAGACGAAUUAAGCCUUCUCUAUGUUAUGUAAAAAACUAACUUUAUUGGUUUCUUUGUGUCUGUUUUGAGCCCUGAGUGCACACUACCUGCCCUGAUAAUUCUUUACAAACCAGACCUGAAUUAACCUGCUUUAAGAGGAUAGUACUGAAUAAUAUGGAAUGAACAUAUUAGAAAUACAUAAUUUCAGAGGGCUUAUCUGCUUAGCAGAAAACAUGUACUUAUCCAAAGUGAAUUUCACACAAAAGUUAAACUAUAAGAAAUAGGUUUCCAAGCGUUUCAGCUAGUGCCUUCAUCGAUGUGACUCAGCGUUUGAAGUUUUGGAUGAAGUUCACAUGAACCUUAAAACCUUAUAACAUAUUUUUUGUUUUACUAUAGCACUCUUUACUCUAUUCGUCUGGGGAAUCUUUUCAUGUCCAAGAUAUAACUAUUCAUCAAAGUAAAUAAAGCAAGUAAUUUAAGAAGAAAUACCAUUAUGAUUUGAUCAUACACCUUAAACAUUUUUGUAAAGAGCAUAAAAUCACUUUCUGCUUAAAGCUGCUUUUUACCUGCAAAGCGUGUAUCAAACACGCAGGUCAUAUAAGAUACAAGAUAUCUUAGUUACACAAGACACAAUUAAAGCUACCUUAGCACCCAUAUCAUCUCAUUGUAACAUUUUACCAAGGAACAACCCUUGAAUAAAUAUUAGAAUGUCUAUCAGUUACUACAAUACACAGGGACAUAUUUUCAAAGCGUUUACUCCAGUCUUUAUUAACUCCUAUCUAUAUAUCUUGUGUUGUCUUUUCUGUAAAGGACAAAUCCUAGGAAUUAUAUUUAUAUGAAAGUGUUAUAGUGUUGCAUUUUAUAUUCUGGUUACAGUGUGUAAGUAUAUACAUAUAACAAAAGUUAUUGUAUUUCUUGCUCUCAUUGUAUUACUUGUAUUGUAACACUUGAAAUGUAUUUGCUUACGAUUGUAAGUC
Long non-coding RNA from Acipenser ruthenus (sterlet), 3683 nucleotides. RefSeq lists it as uncharacterized. NCBI's taxonomy places the organism in Eukaryota, Metazoa, Chordata, Actinopteri, Acipenseriformes, Acipenseridae. The transcript is spliced from 3 exons. The record is from RefSeq and is a predicted model, not a curated record.